This 782-nucleotide ribosomal RNA is filed under the name Micrococcus sp. VKMM037. Its description in RNAcentral is "bacterial SSU rRNA". It matches the Rfam family "Bacterial small subunit ribosomal RNA", at positions 69 to 893 of the family's 1533-position model. The record is from RNAcentral. Lineage: Bacteria; Bacillati; Actinomycetota; Actinomycetes; Micrococcales; Micrococcaceae.
GCCCAGCUUGCUGGGUGUGGCGAACGGGUGAGUAACACGUGAGUAACCUGCCCUUGACUCUGGGAUAAGCCUGGGAAACUGGGUCUAAUACCGGAUAGGAACGUCCACCGCAUGGUGGGUGUUGGAAAGAUUUAUCGGUCAUGGAUGGACUCGCGGCCUAUCAGCUUGUUGGUGAGGUAAUGGCUCACCAAGGCGACGACGGGUAGCCGGCCUGAGAGGGUGACCGGCCACACUGGGACUGAGACACGGCCCAGACUCCUACGGGAGGCAGCAGUAGGAAUAUUGCACAAUGGGCGAAAGCCUGAUGCAGCGACGCCGCGUGAGGGAUGACGGCCUUCGGGUUGUAAACCUCUUUCAGUAGGGAAGAAGCGAAAGUGACGGUACCCUGAAGAAGCACCGGCUAACUACGUGCCAGCAGCCGCGGUAAUACGUAGGGUGCGAUCCGGAAUGAUGCGUAAAGAGCUCGUAGGCGGUUUGUCGCGUCUGUCGUGAAAGUCCGGGGCUUAACCCCGGAUCUGCGGUGGGUACGGGCAGACUAGGAUGUAGGGGAGACUGGAAUUCCUGGUGUAGCGGUGGAAUGCGCAGAUAUCAGGAGGAACACCGAUGGCGAAGGCAGGUCUCUGGGCUGUAAAGAUUGAGGAGCGAAAGCAUGGGGAGCGAACAGGAUUAGAUACCCUGGUAGUCCAUGCCGUAAACGUUGGGCACUAGGUGUGGGGACCAUUCCACGGUUUCCGCGCCGCAGCUUUCAUUAAGUGCCCCGCCUGGGGAGUACGGCCGCAAGG